GAUGAAGAACGUAGCGAAAUGCGAUAAGUAAUGUGAAUUGCAGAAUUCAGUGAAUCAUCGAAUCUUUGAACGCACAUUGCGCCCGCCAGUAUUCUGGCGGGCAUGCCUGUUCGAGCGUCAUUACAACCCUCAGGCCCCCGGGCCUGGCGUUGGGGAUCGGCGGAAGCCCCCUGCGGGCACAACGCCGUCCCCCAAAUACAGUGGCGGUCCCGCCGCAGCUUCCAUUGCGUAGUAGCUAACACCUCGCAACUGGAGAGCGGCGCGGCCACGCCGUAAAACACCCAACUUCUGAAUGUUGACCUCGAAUCAGGUAGGAAUACCCGCUGAACUUAAGCAGAUCAAUAAGCGGAGGA
Molecule: unclassified non-coding RNA, 353 nt
Filed under: soil metagenome
Description: partial contains 5.8S ribosomal RNA, internal transcribed spacer 2, and large subunit ribosomal RNA
Rfam family: 5.8S ribosomal RNA (bases 1-120)
Source: RNAcentral